RNAcentral lists this unclassified non-coding RNA (207 nucleotides) under Bombus terrestris (buff-tailed bumblebee). Its description in RNAcentral is "misc RNA ENSBTSG00005023745.1". Lineage: Eukaryota; Metazoa; Arthropoda; Insecta; Hymenoptera; Apidae. The record is from RNAcentral.
UUUUUCUUUUUUCUUUUUUCUUUUCUUUUCUUUUUUUUUCUUUCUUUCUUUUUUUUUUUUUUUUUUUUUGUCUUCGCGUGUUCUUUAUCAUAUCCCUGAUCAAAGACAUUCCAAUAUUAUUACAAUAUCCAAUUACAUAUUGAUACACAAGAUAUACAGAUUAUUAUUUAUAACAUUUUGGUUUUCUUAAUUGAGUUAUUCAUUUAG